Non-coding RNA from Camellia sinensis, 1048 nucleotides. Lineage: Eukaryota; Viridiplantae; Streptophyta; Magnoliopsida; Ericales; Theaceae. The record is from RefSeq and is a predicted model, not a curated record.
UUUCUUUCUUUGUCUCUGCUUUUUCUUGAAUGUAUUACUAUUCGAUUACAAAAUUCUAGGGUUUUACUCUUGUUUUGUGCACUUGAUUUGGCUAAUGUUCAGUUUCCUUUCAUCUUCAUCCUUUUAGGGCUUCGUUCUUCAUCGAGAAGGGUUCUACAUUUCUUAGAAAGGGGUUUUUGGUCUAGAUUUUCACUCGAGAUUCAGAAAAGGCACAGAGAACGGUUCGAUGGGAGCAACUCUGCAGGAGCUCAGCCUCAAUCUCUCUGAAUCGUCUCAUCGCAUUGUACGUAGAGAGAGCGAGAGAGAUUCGAAGGGAGGAGCAAAACAGAGAUACACUAAGUGAAGAAGGGUAUUUACCUGGUACACUGCUUCAUUUGAUCAAAAGCAUCACUGGGAGCAAAUGAAAAAGAUUUUACACUGGUGUUAGCUGUCUGGGGCAAAGUUGUUUCUUAUAAUGUCAAGUCCAAGGCAUUGAAGGAGUUUCAUCAUUUAUCCACAGAUGAUCUUGAUGAUUGGGUAGCAAGUUGGUGUAACAAUACUUAUCAAUUCAUUGAAAGCCUAUCACCUGUUUGAUCAUUAUCCUACAUGUUUCUACUUCUUUCUUCAGCAGAUGGUACAUGCGAUGGCAAUGGUUUUAGCUACUCAAGAAGCUCAGAAGGAUAACCUUAGAAGUUUUAAUGAUUAUAUGAUGACAGUUUUGGAGGUUUCUGAAGUGCGAUGUGAUACCAAAAAUUACGGUGAAGAACUGGUUGGUUGCAAGAUAAAAGUUUGGUGGCCAUUGGACAAUGUGUUUUAGGAUGGCACUAUUUAUUCAUUUGACUAUACAGAAAAGGAGCACAGGAUUUUGUAUGCCGAUGGUGAUGAAGAAAAAUUAAUAAGAUCAUCAUUAAAUGUGGGUUUUGAUGCUGAAAUACUGGGUGGGAUUACACUAUAUGGCUGCUAUAUAUCCAACACAUUGUGUGUGGAGUGUUGGAAGGUUUUGUGGGUUGAGUGUGGUGAGCCCUACAUAUUCUGGUUUGAGAGAGUGUUAGCUUCCAAAAAAAAAAAA